RNAcentral lists this non-coding RNA (105 nucleotides) under unclassified sequences. RNAcentral describes it as "cow-rumen-2 RNA". It matches the Rfam family "cow-rumen-2 RNA". Rfam says of the family: cow rumen metagenome. Environment (Cow rumen (57)) The record is from Rfam by way of RNAcentral.
AUCGUAGUUAAAUCUAGCAAGUUUAACACAUAGCCGCCUUGGUUGAAUAAGAUGUAGCUGGAGUACAGGAAGACCGACCCAUAAGCUUAUUCGUAAAUCCCACAG